This is a long non-coding RNA of Mauremys reevesii (Reeves's turtle), 174 nucleotides long. RefSeq lists it as uncharacterized. The transcript has 3 exons. Lineage: Eukaryota; Metazoa; Chordata; Testudines; Geoemydidae. The record is from RefSeq and is a predicted model, not a curated record.
GAUUUUCUGAAAGGCUGAAGCAGGAGAGGACACUGGAUUCCAAUGCAGACCAUAAGAUGAUAAGAUGGCAAGGUUCAUUUCCUGUGCAGCUUUGAAAGAUGUGCCCUGUUAUGUUCAAGUAGGCAUCAAAGGGAAAGAGCUUGAAAGGAAAAAAGGAUGAGGAGAGAGAGCAAG